GAUGAACGCUAGCUACAGGCUUAACACAUGCAAGUCGAGGGGUAACGAGAGGAAAGCUUGCUUUCCUUGUCGACGACCGGCGCACGGGUGAGUAACGCGUAUCCAACCUGCCCCCAACUAGGGAAUAACCUUGCGAAAGUAAGACUAAUACCCUAUAAUUUCCUCAGAUGUCAUCUGACGAGGAAUAAAGAUUUAUCGGUUGUGGAUGGGGAUGGGUCUGAUUAGCUUGUUGGCGGGGUAACGGCCCACCAAGGCAACGAUCAGUAGGGGCUCUGAGAGGAAGGUCCCCCACAUUGGAACUGAGACACGGUCCAAACUCCUACGGGAGGCAGCAGUGAGGAAUAUUGGUCAAUGGGCGGAAGCCUGAACCAGCCAAGUAGCGUGCAGGAUGACGGCCCUAUGGGUUGUAAACUGCUUUUAUACAGGAAUAAAGUUAGCCACGUGUGGUUAUUUGUAGGUACUGUAUGAAUAAGGACCGGCUAACUCCGUGCCAGCCGCCGCCGUAA
Molecule: ribosomal RNA, 506 nt
Filed under: uncultured bacterium
Lineage: Bacteria
Description: partial 16S ribosomal RNA
Rfam family: Bacterial small subunit ribosomal RNA
Source: RNAcentral